AAAAGGGAAUUUAUUGAGCGAUUAUUCUAUCCCAGUGUAGGGUGGUGUGUUUUUUUUUGAGUAUUUUUGGUUAACAUCAUCACCAUUCGCUUAUGCGGAAGUUAUAACCUUUCGAAAAGAAUCUGUGGAAACCGACCAACAACUAAGGUUUCAACUUAUACUAGUUUUCAAGAUAGUACUAGUUUCGAAUUUAUUAAUCGUACUUAAUUAAUCAGGAGCAGAUUAACUGGAGAUCUUCAUAAGUGUUUACGUCAUCGCUAGCGUGGUAACCUGGUGAACCUUGGUGGAGACCUAAAAAAAAGAAGAUAAACCAGAUAAGUUAAUUUAACUAUUUUAAAUUACGAAUCAACUUACUUGUGUCGAGUAACUAACAUUGAAUUCUUUAUUUCGGUAUUAUCGUGAUUUCAAUAAUUCAAGUUAGUAAAUAUUUUUUGUUUUGUUUUCUUUAUUUUGUUCGAGAUAUUAUUUAAUUUUUUUUUAUGCAUUUUCUUAAUGUUGUUGUGAGGGGAAACACAAUGUAAUUACACAAUUAAUGUUAAGCUUAUGCGGACCAGAGUUAUUUAUUUUUGUUAUUGAUUUUAAAAGGUAUUUUGCAUUGCUUUGGAGUUUGAAAUUUCUCGCAAAAAUUUCUGGCGCUCAACAUUUAAUAAAUUUAAUUCGUAUUAUAUUUUUUUUUA
This is a long non-coding RNA of Onthophagus taurus, 677 nucleotides long. RefSeq lists it as uncharacterized. The record is from RefSeq and is a predicted model, not a curated record. NCBI's taxonomy places the organism in Eukaryota, Metazoa, Arthropoda, Insecta, Coleoptera, Scarabaeidae.